RNAcentral lists this RNase P RNA (357 nucleotides) under Acidimicrobiia bacterium. RNAcentral describes it as "RNase P RNA component class A". It matches the Rfam family "Bacterial RNase P class A". Rfam says of the family: Ribonuclease P (RNase P) is a ubiquitous endoribonuclease, found in archaea, bacteria and eukarya as well as chloroplasts and mitochondria. Its best characterised activity is the generation of mature 5'-ends of tRNAs by cleaving the 5'-leader elements of precursor-tRNAs. Cellular RNase Ps are ribonucleoproteins. The record is from RNAcentral. Lineage: Bacteria; Bacillati; Actinomycetota; Acidimicrobiia.
CGAGCCCGGGAGGCGACCGCGGUUCCGUCCUUCGGGGCGGGUCGAGGAAAGUCCGGACUCCACAGGGCAGGAUGCUGGGUAACACCCAGGCGGGGCGACCCGAUGGAAAGUGCAACAGAGAGCAGACCGCCGAUGGGCCUCACGGCCACAGGCAAGGGUGAAACGGUGGUGUAAGAGACCACCAGCGCCUCGGGCGACCGGGGCGGCUCGGCAAACCCCAUCCGGAGCAAGGCCAAGCAGGGACAGGGUGGCCCGCCCGUCACGUCCCAGGUGGGCCGCAAGGAGCCCGGCAGCAAUGCCGUGGCCAAGACAGAUGGUCGCCCACGACAGAAUCCGGCUUACACCCGGGCUCGUCAC